This 260-nucleotide non-coding RNA is filed under the name Liquorilactobacillus capillatus. Its description in RNAcentral is "Lactobacillus capillatus T-box sequence". It matches the Rfam family "T-box leader". Rfam says of the family: Uncharged tRNA acts as the effector for transcription antitermination of genes in the T-box leader family. The record is from RNAcentral. Lineage: Bacteria; Bacillati; Bacillota; Bacilli; Lactobacillales; Lactobacillaceae.
UUUAAUGCGAUGAAAAGAUGAGUAACUGCUAAAAUCGUGCUGAGAGAGCUCAUGCAAUGGUGAAAGUGAGAAACGAUUAGGUAGUGAAAAUGGUCUUGGAGCGAUAUGUUUUUCGAGCGCUAGAGUGUUUGUGUAAGAAAGCAUUGUUUGGUACCCAUUAAUGUACCGGAGUAUAGUGCUUUUUACUGUACUUUCAGAGUUAUCUAAUGCGAGUUAGGUAAAUAAAAGGUGGUACCGCGAUCGUUUCGUUCGCCCUUGGA